CUCUCCUCCCGCUCCCUCCGCCCGUCCCUCGGCCCCUACCUUCGUGGUGGAAGCUGCGCACGGUGUUGGCGCGGCUGGCGGCCCUCUCCAGCGGGUAGCCCAGCUGCUGGCCGGCGUGCAGGCGAUAGAGGUCCAACAUGUAGGGGGGGAUGACGACGUCCUUGCCGGGGCUCGGCCGCCGCUUCAGCCCGAACAUGUGGAGCAGGCGCAGCUCGAACUCGCCCAGGAGGUCCUCGGGGCGCUGCGCGGCCGAGGCGGCGCGGCCCGGUUCGCUGAAGCGCCGCCGUCCCACCUCCGGCAUGAGGCCGGCCGCGCCGCCCAGCAGCACCCGGCAGAGCAGCAGCGCCAGGAGGGAGCGGGUGGCGGCAACCAUGGUCGACCUGCGCGGAGGAGGAGGAGGCGAUGGGAGGCGGUCAGCGCGGGCACCGCGCCGGGGGAGCGCGCCGCGAGGCGGGGGGCGGCCGGGACCGCUCCGCAGGUGGCCGCCGGCCCAUGGCGAGCGGCGCGCGGGACGGCGCGGAGGGGGCCCGUCGGGGCUCAGGUGCGCGGCGGCACGAAAACCCGCGGCGGGGGAUCAAAGGGAGCCGGGCCGGGCCGCGGGGGGCCGAGGGGAAGGGGCGCGGGCGGCCGGAGCGCUGCCCUCGGCGGGCGCAGGUGUGCGCCGCGGCGGCCUCCUGCCGAGGGGACGGGGGGCGGAGAGGGACGGGGCGGCGGGAGAGGGACCUCCCGGCCGUGCCCGGCGCGGGGCCCGGGGCCGGCUUCCCAGCCGCGGCUCCUCCGGGCGCGGGGAGAAGGAGGGCCCCUCUCUGCCGGCGUGGGAAGAGGAGGAAAAAGCGAAAGAAAACGAAAAGAAAAGCCGUUCGCGCUCCGUCCCGAGCAGGAGCCGCGGGACGCUCUUCUCCCCCGCGAAACUCCGCGCGGGGUAAGGAUCGCUACACGCUCUCCGUCGCGCUCAGCGUCCCGUCCCCCCUCUCUUGCGGAGCGCACGGAGUCCUCCUGCGGAGACGGCGCUCGGCGGCCGCGGGGCCGUACCUGAGUGCGGCGGGGCUGGCGUCUGCGGGAGCGCGUGCUGCUCUCGGGCUGUGGUCCCCGCAUCACUUGGAGUUACUCCGAACCGCGCUGCUGCUGCUCCUCUGCGGCCGCCGGGCGGAAAACGGGAGCUCCCCGCGGUGCGGAGCGCCUCGGGAACAUGCCUACGGCGGCGGGGCGGGAGGCAGAAGGAAGGGCUCUGCCGGGGAAGGCUUCUCCGUUCGGAAAGCGGCGGUCGGAAAGUCGGCGCUUCCUUUUCGUCCUCCUCUCGGUGCGCGCGUGCCCGCCCGCCAGUGGGUGCUAUGUGUUACGGAGCGGCACGGCGCCUCGCGCGAGCGUCCUUCGCAUCACCCGCAGCGGACGGACGGAUAUUUACCGGGAGUCCCGCAGCGACAUGGAAACGGGAGUUCGGCUUCGCUUUGCUCCGCUCCCUUAAAAAAAAAAAAAAAAAAAAAAGAAGAAACCUACAAAAAAAAAAAAAAAAAAAAAAAAAAGCCCUCCGGAGGGUGUGGAGCACCGCGGUGGAGCGCCGGGGACAGCGCUGCGAGCGCGCACCCGUCCCGCCCGCGCCGCACCAUGCACGGGGGCGGCCGAACGCCGCCGCGGCUUUUUGUUGCGCGCCGAUGUCACGACCCCGGAGGCUCGCGGGCCCGCGCCAAUCACAGCCGCCCUGUGGGAGCGGGCCGCGGCCCCGCACGGCUUUUAAAGGAGACGCCGCCUCCCUCUCUCCCUCCCUCGCCGCUUCUCUCCCUCCUCCCUCGCCCGUUCCCUGCCUCGCCCGGCCGCGCCGCGGCGGCCUCCGGCCCGUCCGUCCGUCCGCCCGUGCGGAGCUGCGCCGCCGCUCCCCGCGCGACGGCGGCGACUGAACGCUGGGUCGCGCGAGGCGACCCGACCCCGAGCCCCCGGCGGCGCUCCCCGCCCGCGGCCCCGCUCCGCACCUGCCCGCUCCCCGCCGCUCUGCGCCUCGGCGCGGCACCGCGCUCGGGGGCGGCCUCCGCACCCGCUUUGGUCCGCCCGCGUGGGACGCGGCCCCUCCGCGCGGCUGUGCGGCACUACCGACGGGGCCGUCGCAGGGCGUGGGGCCCGGUGCGGGCUGCUGCCCGCGAGGUCACAAACGCUCCUCGGGGACUUCAUUUGCAGAGAAGCCACAGUCAAACCUAAAAGACUGCGGAUGAGUAUCGACACCUCCAUUUCCAGCUCCUCCUUUGGGAGUGGCCUUCUCCCUCCACCUUGACUUAGGGCGCCACACAACAUCCGCACUGGGGCAGGUCCCUUCUCCUGCCUUCUCCUCAGCUGCAGCUGUGCCCUGGGACAGUGCCCAGGGGGGGCUCCCAGCACUGCGACUCCCCGUGGAGCCGGGAGAGCCCCUUUGGCCCGGCUGCUCCCCAGGCUCCCUCAGCUGACCCUCACUUUGCUGCUGCAGGGCGCACGCGGCGUGGUGAAGGCCCUCAAAAGCUCCGUCACUUUUCCGUUGCAUUUCAGUGCAAAGCAUGUUUAGUUUUAUGACCUCCUGCGAGUCUUCGGCAGGAACAAGGUGCGAGCGGUGCGAUGCUGCGCCAGUUAUGUAAAUCAGCACUAAAAUAACAAUGGCAAUGUAGUUUACACAUCGCUGGCGUUAAAUGAGCACUUCGACUUCUAUCAGUCCGUCGUGGGUCACGCUAGGAAAAAGUCAUUUCUUGCCUCAAUGCCUGUGCUUGUGCCCGGAGCAGAGGCUCUGCGGAGUGCCCAGCAGUGUCUGCAGGAGAUCCUCCAUCGGGUGCUGAGCCUGGACAAGGAGGCUCUGAGGCCCCUUCCCACCCCUACAGCUGUGCACAGUGAGUCUGAGCGAACACAACUGAAGGCAAAGCGCAGUUCCUGGUGCCGCAAUCGCCCCCCGGGUUCCACAAACACGAGGAGGCGAGCAGCACAUGUGCAGAAGGUUCAGCUCAGCCUGGUCUCCCACGGCAGCACUCUCCUACAGAGCUACCCUUCAGACAGCGCUGGUGCAUCAGCUCCACUCCUGACUGAGAAACCAGCACUCGUGCUGAAGAGAUCUGAUACGGACGUUGGGUUUUAGGAAGCUGGACCAUACAGAUCUCUAAUCUUUGUGAACCUUCAUUUCCGUACUCCUGAACUUUGCAUAGUUGACUGGACUGGUUAAUUUCAUCUUCCCUUUUCUGCACAUCUACUCCCUUUUCUUUCUUUCUUCCUUUUUUUCCCCCUUGCUUCAGUGUUAUUGUGCCUUGGCGUGGGCUCUUUCUGAGCCAGCGAGCAUUCAGCUAAGGGCACCUGCUUCUAAGGUUUCAGAUCCAGGUGCUCUUUGCAGGUGCCCAAUUGCAGCUGAUAGACCUCAACUUUAUGCACUGUUGGGUUUUCUUAGUAAAAUAAAGUACCCACAGACAGGUAGGUUUUACAACCCAGUAAGAUCUGUUUAUCAGGCCUCGGAGGCAAGAAGAAAGUCUUCUUCCCCACAGUGCUCUCUUCUUACUAAUAUUACAUCAAAUUGCCUUUCUGUAGUGCCACAAGGUAGUUUCUUUCUUCUGUCCUGAUUUAAUUGUGACCACUGCCCACGUUGCAGUGGGCAGAAGUCUUCAGCUGGAAGACCUCGAUGAGAAAUGCUGCUGGGACCUCGAGUUGGAACUCACAGUCGUUAACAGCUCAAUCAAACACAAUCAUUAACACUCCAGAUCCCGGUCUAGUUGGAGGGCAGGUCUGCAGAAGCGCACCUAUUGCUCUGUGCACACGGCUGUUCAACGGUUCUACCGCUGACUUCAGCAGACCUGUUAGACCAACACUGAGCACUUUUAAUAUUCCCCUCUUAGGCCAAUUUCCCACAGAUACAGUGAGCUUUUGACAUGAUAUGUUAAUAGUACCGAGGGUUUUUUAUGUGUUUUGUACAUUGCAGUGACUAAACCUCUUAAGAGAAACCUAUGCUGAAGCAUGACAAAUCUGCAUGAUACAGCAUCAAAUGUGAGGGGGGCAGCUUCUGAAAAUGAGUUAAGAUGUGUUAGUGAUGUUGAGGCUUUGGCUUCAUAAAGGAUAGAGAUUAUCUGAAAGCUUUUCCGUUUCUAAACUCGGCUCCCUGUUGGCAUCUGUGCGAAUGUGAUGUGUGGCCAUUCUUGAACAUCCGACUUCAUGCUGCCUUCUGAACAUUUGUCUUUCGGUAGUUUGUCUUUAACGUCCAUCAAUGGUCUCUGCUCUGCAGUCUGUCUCCUGCUGCAUGAAGGAUGGAUUCUCACUCGAGAAGGUAAUUUAUAAGACGAUGGUUUGUUUCUGAAGAGGGGAAAGGCAUUUUAUUUGGAAAUGCCUUUUCUUUCUUAUUCACCUUUGCUGGAAUCUGGCAGCUCAUCAAAGCUGUUGCUCUGUUUCACAGUGAGUCUCAAUUUCAUUCAUCAAAUCUUGGCUCUCUUUCCAUCGUAGUAGCAAGAAAAUUGGAACUUAUCAGGAACUACAGCGCACAGCCACUGUUUUCUAUGUUUCAAAGAUGUUUGCAGUGCUAAUGAAUGAUAACAGUUGCUCCUAACACUGUUAGAGCUCCCACGGCUGUGCAACUUUCAUAAGUUAAAAUCAGUUCCGACAGUUUGUAACUCAUACGAUUGCUGGGGAAAGAGGAAUAAAGGAUAACCUUUUUUUUCCUCCUGUUUUCCUCUUUAUGCUACAGAUGCUCUGAGUUUCAAAAUCCAGUAUUUCAACAGUAGCUUUUAUCAUGAAGAAGUGGGAAAAUGCUGUAACACCUCUGGACAGCCUGGAGAAUAACUGAGCCAUCACCUGAGAGAUACCUGGGCACCGUCAUCAUUUAUAGUGAAAGGACAAGGGGGAAUGGUUUUAAACUGAGACAGGGGAGGUUUAGGUUGGAUAUUAGGAGGAAGUUUUUCACACAGAGGGUGGUGACGCACUGGAACAGGUUGCCCAAGGAGGUUGUGGAUGCCCCAUCCCUGGAGGCAUUCAAGGCCAGGCUGGAUGUGGCUCUGGGCAGCCUGGUCUGCUGGUUGGCGACCCUGCACGUAGCAGGGGGGUUGAAACGCGAUGAUCAUUGUGGUCCUUUUCAACCCAGGCCAUUCUAUGAUUCUAUGAUUUAUAUAUAUUUAAUUACAUGCAGUAUGUGGACUGUCAGUGUGGGGAGGUGCAGUAGGCAGUGAACUGACAAGGAUUCAGGACACCUCAGUCCCUGCCUCAGCACUGAGUACCCCUUUCCCCCCCUUUCCUGCCUCGCUUUUCCCUCCUUUGAAAUGGGGAUGAUUCUGCAGGCCCCCGCUUAGAGGUCACCACAAGCCCUGUUAGGAAAGGGGCUAAGACUUGGGCAUUGCUACUGUUUGGGGCUAAGUGGUGGGUGGAUGCCAAUAAGUAAUCUGAAAUAUCCAGAAUCCCACGGCUCCAUCUCACCUAGUGGCGAAAUUCCUGUUGGUUUUGGUGGCACGGGUUCACACGUUUGAAGAGACCAUGAUGCUGCCUAUUCCAGCCAGAAGACUCAGAGCAAAGAGGGCUUUUUAAAUUACGUAAGUCCUGGUAGGAAGAAAAUGAGGCGAGGGUGUUCCACCACAUAAAAGAGAGAUGGCUGCGUCACAGAUGGGACACUUCAGGAGCUUAUGAUUUCAUCACUGAACAGAUAUUGACGUCAAGUAAAAUGGAGGAUAAUAUAAAGCUACGCAUAUUGCCUUAAGAAGUGCAUACUUGAGCAGUGAAAUUGGAUAAUGUUUUGCAAUUAAAAUAAAAUAAAGGCAAGCGUGACGUUCUGUUUAAGCAGAUUGUCUGUAUGAAGGCUUUAUUGUAGCUGCAGAUUUAGGGCAUAUGAAAAGGUUUUCUGUGCUCAGUCGCAGGAUGAAAAACAUUGCAUCAUCAGGCAUUCUUGUUCUCUAACACUUCUUUGCCAGUAUGCUUUUGAUAAUGAACGCUUGCAAUUUUAUUUUCUGGUCUAAAGUCAUGUUUUCUCAGGUCAUUAUCAUUCCAAUUUUUAAAUAUCCUCUUAGAACUAGACAGAACUACAGAGAGCAAUAGUGAAGCUUUGUGCCUGCCCCGUGGCACGUGCUCGGCACAAGCGAUCAGCUGCUGCACCUGCUUCACAAUGGGAGUAAAGCUAUUUGCAAGUUGCUUUCAAUCACUUCCCUCGUUUCCAGCUCUGCCCCGUUUUCAGAGAAGCUCUGACAGCAACAGGUCUCCGUUCAGACAUCGCCCCUUAGCGUGUAUUUGGUCGGGUUGUGUGUUACAGGAGUUACCGAUGGAGCAUCUUCGGAGAACAUCCUUGGAUUGUCCCCAGGCCUUUGUCUGCUCCGAUGCUGCAUUGCUCCCUUUGCAGCCAUCCUGAAAGGACACUCCAAACUGCACUCCAAACUAAUAAUUAGCAGCACAUGCAGAAUUGCUGUAUGUCUAUCCCUGGCUCAUCUGCAGCCUGGACAUCGCAGUACUUUUUCUUCCCAUUGUUUUCCAAAAGGAGGAAGAUCAGCUACCCUCCCACGUUUUACAGAAGGGGAAAAGCAGUUUCAGUGAAAGGCUGUUUUUAAGAGGUAUGCAGAAGCCCAGAGACCUAUAUAGGUCACACGAAGAUUUCCGAGGAUGCAUAAUCAGGUUAGAGACACAAAUUCCUAAAACUUGAGAGAGACGUCAGCAGUCGGCUCACGCAGACAUUUCUGAAAAUCCCAACGCCAAAUCUAUGCAACAGUUUCCUGACGAAUCCUUGCCGCGCCUCGUCUGUAGUUUGUACUGAGAACCGUAAAUCCUAGCAGGAGUAAAAUCACCUCAUUCAGCAACGGACAAAAGCUCUGACACCGUGAGACCACCUGUGCUGGGGAGAGCGUUCUGCAGCCUCAGCUGGGCCCAUGAAGGUACCUGUCUCAGUAGUGGGAUUCCGGUUUGUUCCCCCGCCGGGUCAGCCUCCACAGCAGAGGGGCACAGUGCAUUCCCUUGCACAACGUGCCAUCACCUCCCGGGAACCAGAACGGUGAGGCUCAGCUAGGGAACCGUGGAUAAAACUCCACUUAUUUUGCACCUCUGAGCUUCUCGCCUGCUUUCCUGCAUGCAUCCCAUGCCCCUGAGUGCAGCCCCCACAGCCCCUGGGCUUUCAGGAAGCAGAAGAACCUGCCCCAGAUUUCUUCUGCCCCUCUUUGUGCCCAGGACACGCAGCCAGCAGAGCGGGGAUCACUGUGAGAACAACACUGCUACCUCCGUUCAUUUUACACAGCCGGAAUCAAGUCUGUAAGUGCUGGUUCAGAUGCUCAUACAGCCCAGGAAGAACCCCAACGACCAAAAAAUUAACCUUAUGAAUAAAUCAUUGAAAAAUUAGGGCUACUCUCUCCAGACCAAUGGAAGGCUGAAAUUGCAAGUUAGGAAGUUAAACGUGACAUUGACUUCUGCAGCUGGUAGGAAAACAGCUUCCUUGCAAAACAAAAACUAGAAUGUUUUGUAUCCAUUUUUUCUCUAAAGCAACUUCUAUUGAAUCAGAUGUUACUAAUAAGGAACUUCGAUAGAUUAAAGAAACGCACCUCUGCAAUAAUAUGUGAAUAUUAUGUUUUCCUUCCUUCCAUUCAUUUACAAUACACGUUCCGAUAACACAAGCUGGAUUUAGACAGGUCAAAGCUGCAAAAAAGCAAAAAUUCUCCAAAUGAAAGCAUAUGGGGAUGAGAUAAAAUAGAGGCCUUCCCUUAAACCAACGUGAUUUCACAGCUGGCCUGAGGGAAUGUCAUCUGCACCACAUCGCCACGCGUGUCCAGGCAGCUGUACGUAUUAUUUUCCCUGUUUGCUUACAUUAGAAAUAAAAAAAAUCCUCUAGACUGAAUCACAGCGAUGGCUCCUACCUGAAAUGUCUCUCCUGCAUUUGACAAGACCUGUAGGUUAAUGGAUUGAACUUCUCUCUCUAUAAAAGAGCUAGGGCAGCUACAGGCAGCGUGGAACUUAGUGAAAUUUUGCCCAAGCAGCACACAGGCCCUAUGCUCACCUGCUGUGUGCAUCUCAGUCACGCUGUGCCCAGCGUUUGGUGAAGCUGCAAGAAGCCAUCUGCAUGAGACUUCAUUGCCGUGUUUAGUUUCCCUGCCUGUGGGAAACCAUCCUGGUGCAGUAAGCUGUCUGAAUUCUGCAUCCCGCAGGUAAAUUACAUGUGCAGGGUGCCUGAGUAACUCAAGCAGAUGCACUGAUAUUGUUGUGUUGUUGGUCCCAACACAACAGAUGUCAGCUACUGCAGCAGACAACUUAAAGGUCCAACCCAAACUCUUUGACCUCUGAUUUGCUCUGUGGCAUUCCCAUAGCAAGACAGGAAGAGGAGACACCUCAACUGCAACUGCAAUGGUGAUCAUCUGCAUCAAACGCUUCUAAGCAGAGCCAUAGGACAUCAGUAGGAACAUCUCCAUCGUGUUCAGAGAAUUUAGGUUUUCCAGUGUCCCUCAAGAGCAGUGUGACUACUGCUGCGGUCCCUGCAUUAGCCCCACUACUGACAAAGGCGUUUUUGAUGCCAUUCCUUCAAUCUAAAUGAUGGAAUAAAACCAGGUCCCGGGACUGCUCGAACCAACUGUGCCUGGAGACUGUUCAAGAGAGAGAAUAUUUAAAGCAGUGCCGCAAACUGUGCACAGCUUUGCCAAAGCCUAUGGAGCUCUGCACUGGAAAACUGAGCUGAGCUAUCAGUGAUCUUUGCUUAAUCACUGCCUUAAUCACUGUUCCUGGGGCUUCUGCAUAACCAAGGUGAAGCACGUCCCCCAUCCCCCAUCCCUGCUGCAGCUCGAUAACGCCUUGCCUAGAUGCAGGCUUUGCACUUCCAGUGGCCAAUCCGUCCAAGAAAUGAAGGACCUUUCCCUCCUUUUCCUGCUGGGCUCCAGCACCUCACUGCAGCUCCUCUGCCAAAACCAAUGCUCCUGCAGUGAGUGGGUUCCCACAGCAGCUUUGGCUGAGCAGAAAUCCCUUCUCAGGGCGUGCACGCAGCACUUUGGGUAACUGCAGCCUGAUUUUGGUUGGAACUGCCACAUUACAAACAAAUUCUUUGCAUUUAUAUUUGAAUUAAAUGUAAAUUCUUUUAGUAAUUAAAAGCUCAGUUCCAGUCCUUCACUUGUAAACAAAUUCCCAAAUCUGGAAGAGCCACAACCUCUCCCCUGCCACAGUCGAAGGUACAGUAGCUUACAUUUUAGCUAACGUUGUUUUGUUCAAAAUCAAAUGAGGUUCAUAUUAAGCCUACAAAAAGAAAUCAUGAUUGAUGAUCUGGCCUGCCCAGCUACAAUUCCUUUAGUAACAAAAAUAUUUUGUAAGUUCAUUUAUUAUUGAGAUCAAGCAAUGAGUCUGGAGCUACAGAAAAUGGUUCCAAUUAGAUUCAAGUAAUUGCCAUUUUGAGUGAACAUGAGCUUUUGGGGAUGAAAAAAGGCAAUAAAAGUUCAAGUAAGCUCACUUCUGAGAUUUAAGCCUUCAAAGCUUUCCCCUCCCCCCCUCCCCCCCCUUUUUUUUAAGUGAGAGUGACAUGCUCAAGGGAGGAUGGGGGGAGGAGGACCAAAGAUGCAUGGACAGGAGUGGUUUUCCCAAGCUGAUGUUUCUCACUGGGUGCCUCAGUCUCCCUGCAAGUGCUGCCUGUGCGAUCUGCACCAACUGCAGCAGCAGCAGCACCAUUAAAGUAAGCAAAGCAGAGAAAAGCCUAUAAAGCACAAGUUUGAUGAUCUCAUUGAAAUUCUCCUGAAGUCGAGGUCUUCUCCUGCAGCAGCAGGUUUCGGAGCAAUGACAGAGCACAUGGAAGACGAAAACAGUUUCAGAGCAGUGCCAGCUGGAUCCCUGCAGCAGCCAAGUGAGUCAACCAGAGAGAAAAAUCUGUGUGCAGAUGGAGGCACUUCUGAGGGGUCAUCGAGAGUCACUACAGAGCAGAAAGUGCUUCAGUGCCGCUUGAUGCCGAGUUGUAGGAACCUAACUUGGAGCUGGAUCCCUGGCCCUGCACACCUUUUGUGCUGUGCUGUGUCUCCCACAGACAGCUUUUCUAGUUGUAUCAUACCAGCUGAGAACUGCAUAGAACAAGUCCCAUCGCUGGAUAAGGUCAGCUUGCCACCACGGGCUCAGCAAAGAGCUGGCAUUCUCCCACAGUGACCUGAUGGGCAUUGCUGUAGACACAUGGGUUCAGUGGCCUCCUCCAGACCAGAUUCCCUACCUGAUCUCAUAGAAGUUGUUACACCCAGAGCCAUGACUCUCUCUCAUUGCAUGCUGGCAGGCUACAUCUUCAUGGACUACAGCACCCAUGUGAAGUCCCUCAGAGGAGAUCCUAAACAUCAUAGCCUCAAGUUGCACCAGGGGAGGAGGUUCAGGUUGGACGUUAGGAAAUACUUCUCCGAGAGAGGUGCUGGAAUGGGCUGCCCGGGGAGGUGGUGGAGUCACCAUUUCUGGAGGUGUUCAAGAAGUGUUUAGAUGUUGUACUGAGGGACAUGGUUUACUGGGAAAUAAUGGUGAUAGGUGGACAGUUGGACUGAAUGAUCUUAGAGGUCUUUUCCAACCUUGGUGAUUAUGAUUCUAUGGAGAUUUGGGUGAUACUUAAGCUAUAGGAAUCUGGCUUGUGCUAGGGAUCACGGCAAAGGAUCGUGCACAGUUCCCUCCCAUGUUGAACAAAAUGCUUAGUUAAGACGAAGCACAGGCAUGAUCACUCACAUUCCCAUGCCAAAAUAACCCUUACCCCAGGCAGUCCCUCACACCAGGAUGACAGAACCAGUAGAUGUGUCUUAAAACAGUUUCCAGCCCUCCCUGCCAAAAGAAGCAUUAAUCAGAAUGACUUGAAACACCCUGAAACAAUUUCCCAACAUAUGAGGGGGGGCUGAAGCCACUGCUUCCUGUGCUGCGAGAAACACCUUCAACCCGUGGACAUACGGAUGCAGAAAGUAAGGGAUGGGAUAAGACAGCACUUCCAAACUCCAUGAGCCUCAGCCACACACGGACCUCAUGUAGGCAUUUCGCUGGGUGUGGUGUCAUCAGCCCCUGUAUUACCUGGCUCUCAGCACACAUUUGUCUUUAGCACACUAUCUCCCAUUAAGACCUGAGAGUGAUCAAGGAGUUCUGAGUGAGGGAAGGAAGAUGGACUGUUUCAGAUUUCAAGACAUUCAUUUCUCCUUCUCAUGGCCCAGAUAUCACCAUAUUAGAAGCUCAAUUUCCAGUGCCCUCCCAAAGGUCUACAAAUGUUCACUACUGCCUCUAUGGAUGGUUUAAUCUCUGGAGUGCAGUUUGCUAAUAAUUGCAAUCAGAUCAUAGAUACAGAUCUAGAUUUUUCUAUGGCAACACAGAGCUUCUUUCAGGUCUGAUCGUGCAUCAGUAUAAUACAGAACACUUUCUGUUUUAGUACCACUUUCGCUGACAACGUUUUAGAGCUUCUGUUUUAAGCCUUGGAGAGAAAUAGGAAGUCAGUCUGGAGAACCUACAGAGCUCGGCUGAAACUAUGCUGACUCAAAGCAGCCGAAGACCAUCCUAAAUGGAGUUGUUACAAGACCUUGGCAUUUCUGGGACUAGCCCCUGAUAAAACAUGACAAGAAAACUCAGAAUCUAUUCUCUAAAGACAGCCCCCCCCUUUCUCUACGGCCUCCUUUCUCCUGCUUUUGAAAGACUUUCUUGCCCCCAAAGCAGUUAUGCCAGGAACACAGAGGAGCACUCUAGCUUCAAGGCAGGUUGCACAGCCACCCAAAGUGCUGCUCUGGACACUUCCAAGCACAGCCCCAUCUUCUUCAGGCAGCCACAUCCCAAAGCUGCAGGGAUGAGAUGAGGAGUAGUGCCACACAAGUGCCUGCUCUCUGCCAGAGGCACAGUGCUGCAUGUCAGCACGGUCUGGGUCACGACUCGCCCUGCAGCCUUCUGCUGAGCGUGCACAGGGGCAGCUGCAAGGCUGAGGCCUACGAAGGAUUCACCAGUACCAACUCCGGCAAAACCCAUCAGCUGAGAGAUCCCCGAGGAGCUGACAUCGCUGUCUAUCUAACUAAAAUGAAGUAUCAAUAACCUAGCUAACACUUGAUGAAAGAGCCUUUCUGAAUUAUUUACUCUAUGUCAUACUUCAGGUUUUAAUUUCAAUAUAUUGUGAGAUGUACGAUAAAUUAUUUAGAAGUGUGGCAAAUUAAAAUGUAGUUUCAAAUCCACCUGUAUUUUCUCCUCUUAGGUUUACAGUCCAGUUUACAACAAUGUAGUGCUGAUCUCCUUUUGCUAAUGGUUUUUCAGCUAGAGAGGCAUAGAGGCAUACAAGUUUUCCAUUGCAGCAAAUCUUAUCCAGCUUGCAUUAUUUAACAACCCGUCCUCCUUGAGAUAUACUAAUGAAAUACAUCUUAGGCAAAAGGGUCAAGGGUACCUGCAGCAGGCUGGCCCAGGAGCUGGUGGUUAUUUCCCAGCCUCACUCAAAGGCAUACGAUGCUCUGAGGGCUUUUUACCUCCCC
Molecule: long non-coding RNA, 12356 nt
Filed under: Gallus gallus (chicken)
Lineage: Eukaryota; Metazoa; Chordata; Aves; Galliformes; Phasianidae
Source: RNAcentral